Molecule: non-coding RNA, 113 nt
Organism: Arachnomyces sp. PD_36
Lineage: Eukaryota; Fungi; Ascomycota; Eurotiomycetes; Onygenales; Arachnomycetaceae
Source: the annotation of a GenBank genome assembly
GGCAAGAUGGCCGAGCGGUCCAAGGCGCUGGUUUUAAGUCACGUGACUUCCGAUGUAUCAGCAUCUGAUAACACCAGUAUCGAAAGAUGCGCGAGUGAAUCUCGCUCUUGUCA